This is an RNA transcript of Cebus imitator (Panamanian white-faced capuchin), 2494 nucleotides long. It is a transcript of the gene named spermatogenesis-defective protein 39 homolog, with no coding region annotated. Lineage: Eukaryota; Metazoa; Chordata; Mammalia; Primates; Cebidae. The record is from RefSeq and is a predicted model, not a curated record. The transcript has 4 exons.
AUGGCUGUCACUCAAGGAAUCAUUAGCACUGAAGGGAAGGCGGUGAAGCUUGUUGUGUUGUCAUCACACUGUGAGAAGGCUUCAGAUUUCAUCCAGAAAGCCGUCAUCUGGAAGACAUUAUCUUCUCUCUCUCUUGUUCCCUCUGGUGCUCUCCCUCAUUUUGGCUUAAAUUUUCAAGUUUACAUACAAUUGGUGAACAGCCUCAGAGACUUUGUGGAUGAUGAUGAUGAUGACCUGGAGCGAGUCACCUGGACUGGGGAACUUGUGGGAAUUAUCUCAUGGUCCAUCAAAGAGACUGCUGGUAAUAGCGGGUCAACCCAUGAGGGGUGUGAACAGCUAAAGAGCCGAAACAGCUUCUCCUCCUAUGCACAACUACCCAAGCCUACUUCUACCUACUCCCGGAGCAGCUUUUUUAGAGGUAGAACUAGACUGGGAAGUUUCCAGUCCCUUUCUGAUACUCUGUCAGACACAUCUGCCAAAAGUUAUGCUCCAGAGCUGGGGAGACCCAAAGGGGGGUAUAGGGAUUACAGCAAUGAUUGGAGCCCUAGUGAUACAGUGCAACGCCUCCGGAAGGGCAAGGUCUGCUCACUAGAGAGAUUCUGCUCCUUACAGGACAAGCUACAACUCCUAGAAAAGGCAGUAAGCAUGCAAGAUGGAAACGUCAUUACUGCAGUUCUGAUUUUCCUGAAGAGGACACUGAGCAAAGAGAUCCUCUUCCGAGAGCUGGAGGUGCGACAGAUUGCCCUGAGACAGCUUGUCCACUUCCUUAAGGAAAUAGGGGAUCAAAAGCUGCUGUUAGACCUCUUCAGGUUCCUAGAUAGAACAGAAGAGCUUGCGCUAUCUUAUUAUCAGAGCAUUUGAACAUUGAGGACCCUGACAAACGAAAAGAAUUUCUUAAGACCUGUAUUGGUUUGCCAUUUUCAGCAGAAGAUUCUGCACACAUACAGGACCAUUACAUGCUCUUGGGACGUCAGAUCAUUAUUGAGGUAAAUGAUCGCCAUUUAGAAUCAGCAGGACAGAUUGAGAUCUUCAGAAAGCACCCCCCGCAAAGCUUCCAUCCUCAACAUGCCACUAGUGACAACACUUUUCUACUCCUGCUCCUAUCACUACAUGGAGGCUGAGGGGACAUUCAGCAGUCCUGUCAACCUGAAGAAGACAUUUAAGAUCCAGACAAACAGUAUGUGCUGACAGCCCCGGCUGCUCGUGCCGAGCUUCGAGCCUGGAAUGAUGUAGAUGCCCUAUUCACCACAAAGAACUGGCUGGGUUGUACCAAGAAGAGAGCACCCAUUGGCUUCCAUCGAGUUGUCUAAAUUUUGCACAAGAACAAUGCUCUUGUGCAGAUAUUACAGGAGUAUGUCAAACUGGUGGAAGAUGUGGACACAAAGUUGAACUUAGCCACUAAGUUCAAGUGCCAUGAUGUCAUCAUUGAUACCUGCCGAGACCUGAAGGAUCGUCAACAGUUGCUAGCAUACUGGAGUAAGGUAGAUAAAGGAUCAGCAGAGGAGGAAAAGAUUGACGCUCUUCUCAGCAGCUCGCAAAUUCGAUGGAAGAAUUAAGUGGCAUUAACUACCCUGAAACCUGCCUCAUUUCUUCCUUUCCUGCCUGUGAAAAUAGAGAGGUCUUCUUUGGGAGAGUUACAGCAUCACAUCGCUUGGGCCCAUUAUCCACAGGCAGUGCCAGCUACUCUUGACACAGAUAACAUCAGACUGAUCUUCUGUCCAAGAAACGUCAUCUGAGGAUUGAGAUCUAAAGCUUUGACUCAUGAGAAGGAUUCUCUCCACCUGGUGCUCAUAUGAAGGUGGGAGUGAUUUCUAGAUUGGGCCCCUACUGGGUAAGAUCUCACUUGGUCUGAGAAAAGUGACUGCUCCAGAAAGGAAGAGGUGCAGGUGUCACAGGGUGGCCACUCCAUUGAACUCAGCCAAUUAUGAUCCAGGACUUGGCGCUGGACAUUGGCAGUUCUGCUCUGAAUGAAGUCAGAAUGGAACCAAAAUGGCCUCAGGAAGGAAUGCCAGUGUUUUCCAAGACCUGCUGGAAAUGCACUCACACCAGACUGCACAGACAGCCCCUCAUUGUGCCACACAUGGCCUAGACAUUGUGCUUCUUCAGCCGUUUUCCCUCUGCUGCCCCAGUUUACUCUGUCCAAAAACCUAAGACUCUUCUCUCACUUGAACACAGAUGACUUUGCUUGGGUGAUGAGAAAUCCCCUUUAUCUCUUCCUCUACUGCUAGCCCAGACCCAUAACUUUAUAUGAAGCUCAGAUGCAGCAGUGCUGGAGAGCUCUCUCUUUACGCAAAAAUCUCAUUUCACUAGGAGCUUUCAGAAGUUUCACCUUGGCUAAACUCAGUAGCAUUUCUGUUAGGAUACUUAGAUGGAGGUUUUAUUUUCACACUUGGAUUCUUCCUCUGUACCAAUAUUUGCCUCUCUUCUCUGUAACUGAACUGGGUUUUUCUGACAUGCCUAGACUCCUAAUAAAGGUAUUUCUUCCUUGGAAAAA